This 2818-nucleotide long non-coding RNA is filed under the name Xyrichtys novacula (pearly razorfish). Lineage: Eukaryota; Metazoa; Chordata; Actinopteri; Labriformes; Labridae. The record is from RNAcentral.
CUUAACACUUUGGCUUUUCAGUAUGAAUGUGUGCUUCUGUCUGUGCUCACAGUUAAAGUUACAAUUGGACCAUAAAGCGUUUUUCCCCAGCAGACUGUAAAGAAAUGGAUGGGAGGCAGCUGAGAAAUGAACAUGUGAGUAUCUGUUUCUGUCUAAUUAAAUCCGCAGAACAGCCUCAAGCCUUCCUCUGCCAAGACUGGAUUCAGACAAACUUGCAGAGCCUGUGGUCUGGCUUCUGUGGUAGCACACUGCCACCUAUUGUUUAAAGUCCUCAUCUGUGCUCUGAAACCUUUGUCUGUUCCUCAGCUGAUUGCUGAAAAGACAAGUUAGCUGCUAACAGAUAACUGAUGAUAGUGACAUCAGUCAUGUGCCGGGAUAAAACACUCUUUUAAGAUCACAUAGCUCUUUUGAAGGCUUCUUUAUUACUAUUUGUACAACACAUAGGCUACCUCUAAUGGCACAAAUCAUCUGAGCAGGAGAGUAAUGUAACCCCCAGCUCUUAUGUGUUAUCAUUGUGAAAUGUGUUUUCUUACUGUGGGAUUCUGCACAGGCCCAUUUGUUGUUGUUGCUCUUGAGAACAAAGCAAAAAGAAGAAGUGGCAGCUGGAGGAGCAAUUUUUGUCCAUCAAGGGCUAUUGAGAGUUCAAUUAUUUAUCUUGUGAAGUGUUCCAAGGAUGUGGUCAGCUCAUCAGGGUUAUAAUGCACCGAGUGAGAGGACAUGUGCACGGAGCGCAUGGAGGAGGAUGUUGUUGUAGUCUGAAAAAAGUCAGCUAAAGCUUGUUUCCAGAUACCAGAACUCCCACGCUCCGUGCAGCUGAUGAGGAAGUCUUAAGAAACGGACACUGUUUAUAUCUGUGCUGCUGAGGAGGACCAAACUGUGAAUGUUGAAAAAAGAAAAAAACAAAACAAAACACUACACAAACUUUAUCUGAGUGACUUCAUUCCUCUUUUAAUAAUAUAUUUAUUAAAAGUGAAUAAAGGGGUACUGGAGGUCAAGCCUGCCGGCCACUCUCACACAGAAACAGACUGUUUGUCCUUUGGAGAAUUUCUGUGGGAGUCUAAAUGACAUUAUACCAACACGCCGUAAACAGUGUAAAAGUUCAUGUUGCUCACCCUUUUUUUAUUUAUUUAUUAAUAUCUAUUUCAAGGCAUGCUUUUGCAAUGCAAGUAGCAAAAUGACUUUUUUGAAUUUAAAAAGUUAAAAGAUUUAUUUCUUUGAUUUUGGUGAAAAGUUUCAUCACCCAGCUGGCACAAAUGACUUUGUAGACUAGGCUGUGGUGAAACGAACGAAUGAUGGAAAUGUUUUCAGGUUUUUACUUUUUUAACUCAAAAGUUUUUUUUUUUCUUUUUUUACAGUUAGACAACUGAUUUAUGAGCCUCUUCCCCUUGAUCAAUAUUCCUUUCUUUAAACAUAGGAUAGAAAAGAAAAAGCUGUCUGCAGCAUAUUGCAGUUUUCAUUUUUUAAUUAAUAAUUUAAAGGUGCAAAAUAAAAUGUAUAUUCUACACAGUAAAAAUGUGUAACUGCUACAGAGCUAAUCCUAAAGGGGUUCACUUGGCAGGAGUGUAUUAUAGAAUUAUUUGGACCUGUUGACAAAGGACUGACAACCCCAUAGACUCAAAAUGCUCAGAUUUCUGAUUUUGUUUCUAGUUUGAAUAAAAGUUGAAAAUUUUAUAGUGAUUUCAUGUCCAAGAGGAAACUUCCCUUUUCUUUCUUUUACACUGAACACCAUCAUAGUAUUUCAAACCAGCAGAGGUUGAAAUCUUUUAUAAGACUUGAUCUCACAAGCAGAAUCAAAGUAAAUAUAUUCUAUCCAGGUUAGGACUCAAUGAAAAACAUCAAGCCAACAAUGAGAAGAGUGGCAGAAGAAAAGCUGUGCUUAUCACUAUUCAUCAUCUUCACUUAAAGCCAAGGAACCUUCAGCCAUUUUUUUUCCAGCACAGCUACAUAACAACAGUUAAUGGAGAGAGGCUGGCAGGAGAAAACCGGAUAUGCAUUAUGUCCAUAAAGAACGUCAAAUUCAGCCUGACAUCAUUCUUUGUUUUGAUCAGUCUUGUUGUGAAGCACAUCCAUAAUUGGAAAGGUUGCAUCCACAAUAAUGUGUAUCAUGAUUUAAGUGUUUUUUUCUGUGUAGUGGGGCAGGUUCAGGGAAGCAUAUUUGUGGUGAGAAUGAUGCCUUUACACCUACAUAGAGAUCUGUGGCUUUACCAGUGUAUUAAACGACAAAACGUUCCAGUGUUCAGCGUCCAGACUCGUCACUGCUCCAGACCUUUAGACUCUGCAUUGUAAAGAAUGACAAAAGCAAAGUUGAGCUGCUCAGCCUAACCCCUCGCUCCAUGUGCCACCAAGACACGUCUUUUUCCAACUUUUCCAACUUUACAAAGUGUUUAAAUCUGCUGUUUCCCAAAGGCAUCCAUGAAGAAGCGAAGUGGAAGUGAGAUCCAGAGAAAUUCAACUGCAGUGAGAACAGCACCCGAGGAAAAAUCCAUCACUGGUUUAUCCCCUAAAAAACGGAUCACUUUCAGAAUUCCUGCUAAUGUCCAUCCAUUUCUCCCAGUCAAAUGGACUCUGGAGAAGUGACUGAUUUUACACUGAACUCAAUAAUCCACAGCCUGUGCAGCUUAAGUCAUGGAGCUUCACUGUGCGUAUGUUAACACCAUUAAAUCACCUCAAAUGCCUACAUGAUUCAAUCUUUUUCACAGUGGACGACAAGUGAAUUGAAUUUCCCCAAAGUGGCUGUCCAUUUCCUGUCUGCGUGUGACGAGUGGCUGUACGGUUGCCGGGGAAUUCAGACCCACUCUCCCCUUCACUUAACUCCCAU